Molecule: transfer RNA, 91 nt
Filed under: Ectobacillus sp. JY-23
Lineage: Bacteria; Bacillati; Bacillota; Bacilli; Caryophanales; Bacillaceae
Also listed under: 1 other name
Description: tRNA-Ser
Rfam family: tRNA
About the family: Transfer RNA (tRNA) molecules are approximately 80 nucleotides in length. Their secondary structure includes four short double-helical elements and three loops (D, anti-codon, and T loops). Further hydrogen bonds mediate the characteristic L-shaped molecular structure. tRNAs have two regions of fundamental functional importance: the anti-codon, which is responsible for specific mRNA codon recognition, and the 3' end, to which the tRNAs corresponding amino acid is attached (by aminoacyl-tRNA synthetases). tRNAs cope with the degeneracy of the genetic code in two manners: having more than one tRNA (with a specific anti-codon) for a particular amino acid; and 'wobble' base-pairing, i.e. permitting non-standard base-pairing at the 3rd anti-codon position.
Source: RNAcentral
GGAGAGCUGUCCGAGAGGCCGAAGGAGCACGAUUGGAAAUCGUGUAUACGUCAUAAGCGUAUCGAGGGUUCGAAUCCCUCGCUCUCCGCCA